Molecule: ribosomal RNA, 997 nt
Filed under: Protodrilus sp. 3 KW122
Lineage: Eukaryota; Metazoa; Annelida; Polychaeta; Protodrilidae
Description: eukaryotic LSU rRNA
Rfam family: Eukaryotic large subunit ribosomal RNA
Source: RNAcentral
CCCUCAGUAACGGCGAGUGAAGCGGGAAAAGCCCAGCGUCGAACCUGUGUCGCUUCGCGGCACCGGAAUGUGACGUGUACAGUUUGACCCGGCGAAGACGGAAAAACAAGUCUUGUUGAUCCUUGCCCCAUGGAGGGUGUCAGGCCCGUACGCGUUUUCCUGUCUGAGUCUUCGUGUCAUUCUUGAUUGAGUCGGGUUGUUUGGGAAUGCAGCCCAAAGUCGGUGGUAAACUCCAUCUAAGGCUAAAUAUUUAGACGAGACCGAUAGCGAACAAGUACCGUGAGGGAAAGUUGAAAAGCACUUUGAAGAGAGAGUUCAAUAGUACGUGAAACCGUCCAGAGGUAAACGGUGGAGGCGGACGUUUGCACGCACGUUUUCAGCUUUGUGGCGGGUCUUAGGCGGUUGGGUUGUGCUUCGGUCAGCCCGGCUGUCGAACGGCCUGUUUACGGAGUGCAUUAUCGUGUGUCGCAGCCACGACUGAUUGCCCGGGUGUCUGAUAACUGUGCCGGUGGGCGACUUACGUUGUUUCAGGUGCAGAGGUGGCCUUCUGGGCGAUUGGAGUAGCGAGGAGUGACCCUUCGGGGCGUCCGGACUUGCGGUGAAGUGUGCGUGUUAGGUCAUACUGCUUGCAGUAUUUCUUGGCGCGUGUGUUUUGUCUGUGGGUAUCCGUUCCAUCACUCCCCGUCUGUGGUUUGUUUGUCCUUUACCGACCCGUCUUGAAACACGGACCAAGGAGUCUAACAUGUGUGCGAGUCUCUAAGGUGGAAAACCUCUAGGCGUAAUGAAAGUAACAGGCGGGAAGCGUGCCCUCGGGUGCGCCGCACCGCCGUCCCGUCCGGAUCGCUGCGCGAUAUAUUGGGCGGAGAAGGAGCAUACACGUUGGGACCCGAAAGAUGGUGAACUAUGCCUGUGCAGGAUGAAGCCAGGGGAAACUCUGGUGGAGGUCCGUAGCGAUUCUGACGUGCAAAUCGAUCGUCUGAUUUGGGUAUACGGGCGA